CGGGCGAGGCGCCGGUCUAAGUCCCUUGGAACGGGGCGUCACAGAGGGUGAGAAUCCCGUACGCGACCGGCGACCGAGCCUGUGUGAAACCCCUUCGACGAGUCGAGUUGUUUGGGAAUGCAGCUCAAAAUGGGUGGUAAAUUUCAUCUAAAGCUAAAUACCGGCCGGAGACCGAUAGCGCACAAGUAGAGUGAUCGAAAGAUGAAAAGCACUUUGGAAAGAGAGUCAAAAAGUACGUGAAAUUGUUGAAAGGGAAGCGCUUGCAACCAGACCUGCCCGCGGGUGAUCAGCCGUCCUUCGGGGCGGUGCACUCGCCCGCGAUCAGGCCAGCAUCGGUUCGGGCGGCCGGAUAAAGGCCCUGGGAACGUAGCUCCCCUCGGGGAGUGUUAUAGCCCUCGGUGCAAUGCGGCCAGCCCGGACCGAGGACCGCGCUUCGGCAAGGAUGCUGGCGUAAUGGUUGUAAGCGGCCCGUCUUGAAACACGGACCAAGGAGUCGACCAUCUAUGCGAGUGUUUGGGCGUCAAACCCACACGCGCAAUGAAAGUGAACGGAGGUGGGAACCCCUCGCGGGGCGCACCAUCGACCGAUCCAGAUGUCUUCGGAUGGAUUUGAGUACGAGCAUAGCUGGUCGGACCCGAAAGAUGGUGAACUAUGCCUGAAUAGGGUGAAGCCAGAGGAAACUCUGGUGGAGGCUCGCAGCGGUUCUGACGUGCAAAUCGAUCGUCAAAUUUGGGCAUAGGGGCGAAAGACUAAUCGAACCAU
This 762-nucleotide ribosomal RNA is filed under the name Solitaria chrysophthalma. RNAcentral's name for it is "LSU rRNA". It matches the Rfam family "Eukaryotic large subunit ribosomal RNA", at positions 165 to 943 of the family's 3401-position model. Lineage: Eukaryota; Fungi; Ascomycota; Lecanoromycetes; Teloschistales; Teloschistaceae. The record is from RNAcentral.